GGGGCUGCCUUGGUUUCGACGUGGGUCACGAAGCGGCACAAUGCAUGUCGAGGUCCGGAAUCCUCGUAAAACAGUUCGGAAAACUAUAAACGCCAACAACAAGCGUUUCGCUCUCGCGGCUUAAUCCCGCGGGACGGUGCACCGGUUCGCCUGAGGGCCGGGCUGGGUAAAACUAGCAGCACCGCCAUACACUCGGGCUGGAUCUCACUGGAGUCGUGACUGUGAGGUCGAGAUCAAGCGACUGGUUCCUGAAGGGCCUGCCGGCAGGCAUGAGCAGGGGCGAGAUUUAAAAUUUGACGGCUAAGCAUGUAGAUUUGGUCGUGGACGAUUUGCGGACGCGGGUUCGACUCCCGCCAGCUCCACCA
RNAcentral lists this transfer-messenger RNA (365 nucleotides) under human gut metagenome. It matches the Rfam family "transfer-messenger RNA". From Rfam's summary of the family: Bacterial tmRNA, also known as 10Sa RNA or SsrA, is named for its dual tRNA and mRNA-like properties. Its role is to liberate the mRNA from a stalled ribosome. The record is from RNAcentral.